Non-coding RNA from Ceratotherium simum simum (southern white rhinoceros), 603 nucleotides. The record is from RefSeq and is a predicted model, not a curated record. NCBI's taxonomy places the organism in Eukaryota, Metazoa, Chordata, Mammalia, Perissodactyla, Rhinocerotidae.
UGCAGAAGGCUGUCUCCUGCAAGGACUAGUUGUCAAACCAAGGUACAGAGGACUUCCCACAGCAGAUGGUGAGAACCAGGGCAGAAGGAGGACUCCUGAAGCCUCCGAAGGAAGGAAAUCAUUACAGGGCCGACAGAAGUAGGUCAUGUGCUGCAGCUGCUCAUGGUUUAAGAGGAAGAAACAUGGGACCUCAAACCUGGAACACAACUCUUUCAAAAUGCUUGUGAGCCGCCCAAGAAAAACAUCCUCCCGAGGCUUAUCUAAUAACCGUGGUCUCUAAUCGUCUCAAUGUGUGCUCGGCUUUCCUUCGGAGUUUGCACCUACUUCCCAGAGCUAACGAGAUGCUGAGACAGAACACAGGGAAAUUUAAUGAAGGGGAUUUAAUAGUUUGUGUUAAAGCUAAUAUGGUCCAUUAGGAGCUGUCAUUUUUAUAAACAAUGAAGAUAUGUUACCUUCUUCUUUGGUGUCAAGUCAUUCCAUGCAGGACCUGUAAACAUUCAGUAAUGAUCUGCAGAACAUGCAUGAAAGACAAUUAAGACGCCACUUGAAAAGUCUGUUUUCCUCACAUAUUUGGUUUCUUGCUAAAUAAACUCAUAAAGAUCA